RNAcentral lists this non-coding RNA (29 nucleotides) under Mus musculus (house mouse). Lineage: Eukaryota; Metazoa; Chordata; Mammalia; Rodentia; Muridae. The record is from RNAcentral.
CAACUUUCUUCAUGUGAUUCCAAUUGAGC